CUUCAUUUGGACUUGAAUCGGCAAAAGCUGAAGUGCAAAGGUAAAGUUAGAAUACUGUGGUGGUGUGCUGAGGGAAAUAACGAGCGACCGGCAAGUAGGAAUAGCUAGAUACACCUCCCAACAAAUAGCGAUGUAAUAUCCCGCUAUCGUAAGGGGUGGUUGGGACGUAGAUUGAGGUGUCCAUGUGCAUCCAUCUUUUGGUAGGUAUCCUGGCAUUCAGUAGUUAUAUUCCCCAUCUAGAGUCACUCCGCUGACGGUCAAGGUCUUUGUAUA
RNAcentral lists this small RNA (273 nucleotides) under Theobroma cacao (cacao). Its description in RNAcentral is "sRNA Tc09v2_g016930". Lineage: Eukaryota; Viridiplantae; Streptophyta; Magnoliopsida; Malvales; Malvaceae. The record is from RNAcentral.